GAUGAACGCUGGCGGCGUGCCUAAUACAUGCAAGUCGAGCGAACAGACGAGGAGCUUGCUCCUCUGACGUUAGCGGCGGACGGGUGAGUAACACGUGGAUAACCUACCUAUAAGACUGGGAUAACUUCGGGAAACCGGAGCUAAUACCGGAUAAUAUAUUUAACCGCAUGGUUCAAUAGUGAAAGACGGUUUUGCUGUCACUUAUAGAUGGAUCCGCGCCGCAUUACCUAGUUGGUAAGGUAACGGCUUACAAAGCCAACGAUGCUUAGCCGACCUGAGAGGGUGAUCGGCCACACUGGAACGGAGACACGGUCCAGACCCCUACGGGAGGCAGCAGUAGGGAAUCUUCCGAAAUGGGCGAAAUCCUGACGGAGCAACGCCGCGUGAUUGAUGAAGGUCUUCGGAUCGUAAACCUCUGUUAUUAGGGAAGAACAAAUGUGUAAGUAACUAUGCACGUCUUGACGGUACCUAAUCAGAAAGCCACGGCUAACUACGUG
Molecule: ribosomal RNA, 497 nt
Filed under: uncultured bacterium
Lineage: Bacteria
Description: partial 16S ribosomal RNA
Rfam family: Bacterial small subunit ribosomal RNA
Source: RNAcentral